UACGAAGGGGGCUAGCGUUGCUCGGAAUCACUGGGCGUAAAGGGUGCGUAGGCGGGUCUUUAAGUCAGGGGUGAAAUCCUGGAGCUCAACUCCAGAACUGCCUUUGAUACUGAAGAUCUUGAGUUCGGGAGAGGUGAGUGGAACUGCGAGUGUAGAGGUGAAAUUCGUAGAUAUUCGCAAGAACACCAGUGGCGAAGGCGAAUCCCUGGAAAAUACCUGACACUGAGGCACGAAAGCUGGGGGAGCAAACAGG
RNAcentral lists this ribosomal RNA (253 nucleotides) under uncultured bacterium. Its description in RNAcentral is "partial 16S ribosomal RNA". It matches the Rfam family "Bacterial small subunit ribosomal RNA", at positions 524 to 776 of the family's 1533-position model. The record is from RNAcentral.